Molecule: long non-coding RNA, 16931 nt
Filed under: Lynx pardinus (Iberian lynx)
Lineage: Eukaryota; Metazoa; Chordata; Mammalia; Carnivora; Felidae
Source: RNAcentral
AGCGGCCCAGCGGCCACCGAGUUGGUGCGGGCGGCGGUGACGCCCCCGGCAAGGGGGAGGGACGCGCGGAGCGCCUCGCAGAGCCGCACACCCGCGAAAACAAAGCCAUCUCUUUGAAACAAAAGUGAAACAGACGCGGCCGGGGAAAGCUAGAUAUUUGCGAGCUGAUGUGAACAAAGGGGAAAAGUCAUNNNNNNNNNNNNNNNNNNNNNNNNNNNNNNNNNNNNNNNNNNNNNNNNNNNNNNNNNNNNNNNNNNNNNNNNNNNNNNNNNNNNNNNNNNNNNNNNNNNNNNNNNNNNNNNNNNNNNNNNNNNNNNNNNNNNNNNNNNNNNNNNNNNNNNNNNNNNNNNNNNNNNNNNNNNNNNNNNNNNNNNNNNNNNNNNNNNNNNNNNNNNNNNNNNNNNNNNNNNNNNNNNNNNNNNNNNNNNNNNNNNNNNNNNNNNNNNNNNNNNNNNNNNNNNNNNNNNNNNNNNNNNNNNNNNNNNNNNNNNNNNNNNNNNNNNNNNNNNNNNNNNNNNNNNNNNNNNNNNNNNNNNNNNNNNNNNNNNNNNNNNNNNNNNNNNNNNNNNNNNNNNNNNNNNNNNNNNNNNNNNNNNNNNNNNNNNNNNNNNNNNNNNNNNNNNNNNNNNNNNNNNNNNNNNNNNNNNUCCCCCUCCCUCCUUUAAACCACAGCAUCACACAGCAAGGCCCUAUUGCAGUUACCCAUAAAUGCAAAGGCGAGGAGCCACCAAUACCUGUUUGAGGAGAUGGCAUUUUAAUUAGCACACUCCAGCUGCCAUAAACCCCGGAUCCUGCCCCACCUCUCCUCCCCCUCCCCGUGCCCUCUCCCAACCUCCCUGCUCACCCCCAUCUAUGUAAAAAAGCCAUAAAGCCUUUCUCCAAUCGCCUUCUCGGAGUUUAUGCAACCCCCAGAACACAGGUUGAUUGGAAAGGUCUCUCUCCUGGAUAACAACAAUUCAAUGUGCCUUGACAUUUUAAUAGCCUGCCGUCCUGGUGAACACAAUCGAGCAAGGCAGUGAAGCAAAAAUCAUUAGGUAAGCAAGAUAAUCUAAGCGGAAUCUGCUGCCUGCACUCUCACAUCUGGGGGCAGGUUGCACAGCUGGGGCGGUCCACAAAGCUGGGGCCAUCCUGCCUUGCAGCGCCUUUGUAUGUGUGCACCGAUACAUAUACACUUGUUCAGUUAGAGACACACACCCUUGCGACAGCUUUGGGGAGAUAAACACACUGAGGCAAGUAUAGGCUCGUUGAACCCCCGAUAUGAAAUAACCUGAGAGUAUACAGAUUUAUAGUGAAUCAAAAUACCUCCCACCCCACCUACCUACUACCAAAUCAAACUUACUGCUCUCAGUUCAGGCUUGAAUAUUGGUUGGGAUCCCUAACACCAACCAUAUAAAGGCUUAUGUAUUUCCAUGAAUAUAUAUGUAUUCAUUUAUAUAAUGAUUUUGAAUACAAUGCCAUGGCUAAAAAUGUAACUUAAACAUAAAUGUACAAUGUAAAACAUUUAUGCUGACUGUAUGCAAGGUACUACUAUAAAUGCUUCAUGUCUAAUAACUCCUUUAAUUCUCAAAACCUAAGUACAUUAUUGUCCCCACUUUACAGAUGAGGUAACUGAGGCACAAAGAGCUGAACUAACUUGUCCAAAGUAAUCCUCCCGUAAGUGGUGGAGCCAGGAUUUGAAUGCAGGCAGUGUGGCUCUUCUAUCCAGGCUGUCACCCACUGAGCCAUGCUGUCUCGUAAAAAGAAGUCACACAAAUAAUAUCACAUGUCUUUAUAAGGUCAGUGCAUUCCUACAUGAAUGUGUAUAUUUACACACACACACACACACACAACACAUAUUUAUGUGGAUACUCAAAAGGUGCAAAGCAGUGUGACUUCUUUUCAGCACAAGCACCUGCAUUUGUGCGUUCAGCCAUAUUCACGAGUUGAAUAUCUUGUGAGUCCCAAGAUCAUGUAUUAGUACUGAGGAUAUAAUAAUUAAUUAGACACAAAUGUCUCCCUCCAGUAGCUCAUAGCCUAUGGAGAAGUCAAAUCAGCAAACAGAUGUUGACCUUAGGGGUAAUAGGAUAGAGACUGACACAGAGAGGCAGAGGUGGAGAGGACCCCUCAACGCCGCCACCUGCCUCACACGUCCCCCUCCCAGAAUCUUCUUGAGAAGCCAUAUACCUCUUCCCAUGAGGCUGUUAUACUCAAAACACAUGGACAGCUCCAAAUAGGAAUUGCCUUCAAGACCAUUUUGUAAGUUGCCCAAGAAAAUCAGUCUUGUUACUUGAUAAUUACACAUAACACGCACACACCUCUUUCUUAGAAGGAAGUAGGAGUGACAUCACAGAACUUGGAGGGCCAACAGAUGACAGAAAAUUCUCCUGUUGGAUUCCAACCCGCCCCAUUCGCCCAUGCUCCUCCCUCUCUCCCUGCAUGGAAGUCCGGCAUAGAUCCGUUUCCCUGGGUGCUGACUUGGCAAGCUCUUCGCUUUAUGAAUAUGACCCUCAGAGGGGAGAGCCCCUCUCAGCAGCCCCCGAACUAUGUUAUCACCGUUAUUAAAGGAGCUUAAAGAGGAGCAGGGAGGACGAGACACCACUGGAAUUGCAGCCUGAUUGUGAUUGAUGUGUUCCUAUUAGCGCCUCAGUGUUAUCUCUCUGGAUGGCAAGAACAGCCAGUGGCUUGUAACACAACAGAUUACCUGAGUUCUCAGCCUUAGAAGGAUGUUUAAAUAAAAUAUAGUCCCUCUUAGCAAGAGGCUCAUUUUCUCCACGAGGCUCCCAGACUAUUUCAUGUCAGCUCUGAUUCGCUGCGACUCUCCUCAGUAAACAUGUCUUAUCAUUAAUAAUUCUUUACAGGCACAAUCUCCAAGAGUCCUCUCCUCUCUCUCUCUCUCUCUCUCUCUCUCUCUCUCUCUCUGUCUCUCUCUUUCUCUAGGUGGCUGGACUCAGACACAUCACGCUCCAGUUUGGGUUCCAAGGUGCUUCUCUCUGGCUUUUCACCUGCCUUGCCAAAAAUGAUUGAUUACGCCGGGCCGACUGGGUGUCCGGCAAUACCGAACAAAUGACUUUGGCCCCUAACAGCAGGCCUUGGCCAGAUAGAAAUCAAUAUUUCACCAUUAAAAUCUAUCAAAGAAGAGUUAAGGCACCAUCUGUCCCUGCCGCCUCUCUAUGGUGUGUGAACAUUAAAUCCGACACUUGUACUACAUGGGUAAUCAAUAUAUAGUGGUUCACAGAUCAUUUGUGGUUCCCUUUUAGCAGUGAUGGAUGUCUGGAAUCGUUGUGAUUCAUUUUGUCAGACCAUUAAACAAGAUUCUGUCCAGUUCCUUCCUGAUUUCAUUUAGAGGAUCAUUCUUCACAGUUCAUAAGAGGGAAACGGUUUUACCAAUCUGCUUCUAUUUCAAUAAGUCACUUUAUAGAGAUUUUGUGUCCUCCAGACUGUAAAAAUUCUGGAGAGAUAGUACAAACAGACCUCUAAAACUAUUCACUGCAUGACAUAUGCAUAAAGUGUGAAGAGAGGAAUGUAAAUAUGUUUACCUCUUUAUCUGCAAAUGUUGGUUUUAACCCCCUCCUGGCUGGAGCGGUGGCCUGCGGGGCGCUCGGGGAACAGAAGGAGGAGGGUGAGGCUGGUGACUGGGGACCAACUCAUAGAGGCAGGGGGAAACCCGUGAACCCUCAGUGGCACGGCUAAAAGAAAAUGGGAAUGACUUUUCCAGAGGCUGCAUCUCAGGCUUCCGUUUCUAAAGUCGAGAUGAUCUCGCCUCUCACCCAAAUGAUUGACAAGUGCCUCCCUGUACUGUGGCCCGGCACACCAACCCGAGAGAAGAAACAAUGACUGUGCCCUUGGGGGCAGGGUGUGGGUGAACGUAAGGACCUGCGUGACAAUAACGGCUGCCAUUUGUGGAGUAUCAACCCUUCCCAGGCACAAAAUAUGCCCAAGUCUCCCCCUGAACAGUUUUACAAGAUAGGUACUAUUCUCCCCACUUUCUAGUGGGAAAACUGAGGCUCAGAGAAGUUAAAUGACGUGCCUAAGAUCACCCUACCCAGGGAAUGGGAGGGUCAGGACCCAGACCCGGACCUGUCUGACACCAAAGAGCCCACAUGGCUGUCGCCAGCUCUUGGCUGUCGGCCAUCACUUUGUGGAUGAUUUUGUUUCAACCCAAGUGAAUUUCCUUCAGUCCUUCUGGACUACAUACUUGCUCCAACCAAUCAGGGUGCUGUUAGGAAAUAAAGCUUUUCCAUUACUACUUUAAGUAAAUCUGCAGCAGGGUCACUAAGUAAAGUACUCCAAAGCCAAACGAUUAAUUUUAAGCCAUCUUCCUGUUUUAGAUGAUUGGAUAACUCUAUCCCUGUGGCUGAUAUAAGUACAGAUAAGCAGAAGUUGAUUUAAAUAUUCGCAUAAACCUAUAUAUGUAGGUAUAUAUACAGCUAUAUACACAUAUCUGCACAUAUAUAAGUUAUAUAUAACUAUUAUAAAUUAUAUCAUCAUAAAUAUAUAUAAUUUGGAAGACUCUAGAGAUAAUUUAGUUUUUCCUUCUUCCCUUUCCUUUUAAAAUAAAGUAACUAAGCCUCAGAAAGAAUAAAAACUGGGCCUGGGAUGAAAAACUUACUUUGUGAUUUCCAAGUUAAAACCCUGUACUGAAAAAUUAUAAGCGAUAGAGUGUUGAUAGAGUGUUACUCAGUUACAAUUUUUUUUGGCGAGCUGUUUGUUGAGGGGACAGUUGGGAGAGUACUUCUGUCGCAGCUGAGUGAAGGGGAGAGCCUCUAAGGCAUUCUCACUUCCACACCAAUUCACUAACCCUGUACUCCCUGCUGCAAGGUAAGCGUUCCCUAUCAGACCCAAGGCAUUCCGGCCAGAGCCACGCUGGACCACAGCAUCUGGGGAAAUUCCAGGAAAGGCACUUUUAAGAGGCAUAGGGCACGGCGGAGAGAGCCUGGAUGCAGGCUUCAGAAAGACUAGGAAAGAACCCAUCUGUGCUGCUAAUUAACUACGUCACCUCAGUAAAGUACUUAGCCUCUCUGAGCAUCAGUUUCCUCAUCUAAGAGAGGCUAAUCGCAGGUACCUCACAGGGCGACUGCAAGGACUCAAUGACACAAUGUAAACUUUAGCACAAGGCUUAGCCCUUGUUAGUUGGCAAUCCCUAACCCUUUCUUCCCUUCCUUGCUUCCUGACACUACACCACACAUAUUCCGUUGCACUUUCUCCUGCAGGAAAACUUAGAACGGCAUCCACCACAUAAGAGUUUAUCCAGUUCUUCUCAAUUCUAGAAACACAAAACCUAGGAAUUAAAACAAGAAUUAAGAGGUCUUUGAUACCCAGUGCUGGAACCACUUUCACCACCUGUCUGACAGUUCAUUUUCAAGGACCGGCAGCUCAAGAUGUUGCAAGGAAGUCUGCCUUAUUGCCGGACGGUCUUUUUUUUUUAAUAUUUUUUUUUCAUUUUUAUUUAUUUUAGAGUUAGAGCAUGUGCAUGAGGAAGGGAAGGGGCAGAGAGAGAGAAUCGUAAGCAGGCUCCACGCUCAGCACAGAGCCCGACGUGGGGCUUGAUCCCACGACUCUGGGAUCAUGACCUGAGCCGAAUCAAGAGUUGGACACUCAACCGACUGAGCCGCCCAGGUGCCCGUGCACAGUCUUUUUUAACAAUAAAUUUCCUGCUAAACCUGCUUCAGUGUAAAUCCCAUCCAUUAGUGCCAGUAAUAAUUCCAACCCGUAACCACCUCACGUUCCGUACAAUAAUUUAGUAGAAUGAAAAGAAAUGUUCCUUUUAAUUUGGGUUAAAACUACCUUCUUGAAGCAUUUUGAUUACUGGACUAAAAUCCAAGAGCUUUGUGACUGCCAAACUGGCUUUAUUCAUGUCUUUUGAUGCUAGCUGUGAGUACACCCCAGCUCAUACUGGGUGAAAUGAAGGAUUCUUUAUUUUUUUUCAUGUUCUUUUAUGAAUCCUCUUUGGUCCAUGUCUCUCACUGGGUUUUCUCUGUCUCUGAAGUUCCAUUCUUGAGCAUGAAGCCCAGAACUGCACAGAACAGUUCCAAUUCAAUGCUAUACUUCAGGUUUUUCCAUCCAUUUCUUCCUUUCUUCUUCGUUCCUCCUAUCUACCUGUCUUUCCAUCCAUCCAUCCUUCCAUCACAAAUAUCCCAGCCAAACCAGGAACAACGGCCGUUAAUAAGGUAAUGCAAUAACCUGAGCCCUGACAGCAAUGCCAGUGUCAGACUUCGUGAAAGCACAUGUUUCCUUCCUACCACCCCGAUCCCAGGCAUCAGCAUAGGCCCCAGGUGGGCAGGCUGACAUCCAUGCCAUUGUCUCUCAACUGUUCCUCAGGGCGUGUCGCUGUCUCUCAACUCCAGAAUCACAGAAUUAAAUUCAACCACUCUAUAUUGAGCAUUCAUGAGAAAGCCACACUGAGCUCUCAUGGUCUGUCCAGGUCACUCAAACCAGAGUAACCAUCACAUAGGCCACCAGCUUUGCUCUGCCCUGUGACUCAGCCGUAUGCUUCCUCACGUCAUACUGAGGUUAAUCUUGGGGACCCCACUCAGUUCCCACUCCUUGCCAGUGUUUCAGGUCCCAAACGGCCCUAUCUUGGAUGCCCACCUUUGCUGCUAGGUUCUCUCCGUGUGUGUGGAUCUCUGAAUCCAGCAUCUCUAGCCGAACUUGAGCACAGUAUUUCUAAUUCCUUCUUUAGCGUGGCCUUCUUAGGAAGCCGGACCUCGGCACUGGUUCCUAUUAAAAGUCAGGUCUGUGGGAAAAAUUGCAUAAAUGCAUCCUAGACCAGGGGCUGGGGGAGCCAUACUCACAGAGGCAAGACCCACACACACCUGCCUGGCACACACCUGCGCCCAUCAGACGUGCAGUGGCAGGUGAGGACACAGCCAUCCGCACAGUCUGAGGUCUGAAAACCACUAACUCUCCCUCUGUUGGGUGAAGCCAUUGAAGAACAGCUUCUGAUGGAAAAGGUCACCUAUUCCUAAGGAUUUCCAGAAAUUCCAUUCUCCUACUCUCUGUCCUGAAAUGAAACAAUAUAUACAGUCAGAAAUUUUUUCCAGGGCUAGCUUCACCCCAUCUUGCUCUAACUGAAGCCCAUUCUUUGGGCUUCAGGUUUUUGCAUUUUCAUGAGCAAUCAUAGCACUGUGCCAGGCAUUGUAUUGGUUGCUUGGGGACGUGGUUUCAUUAGUUAUCACAGCAACUUUCUGCAAGACAGAUUUCUUUUUCCCCCAUUUUAGGAAGAAACUGAGGCUGUAAGGGAUUUAGUAAUUCACAUGAUAUCAGGCUGCUAAUAAAUGACAGACUGUGAUUCAAACUCACUCUGGACUCCCCAGCCAGGGCCAUCAAACACCGAGCCAUACUUCUGUUUAGAAUAUUCACCUUACGGCUCUAACGGGAUUUACAGAGACUUCUGAAAGCAAAAGCUAGGCCCAAUUACAAACUUUUAUAGCUGUUAAAGAAUCUGCUUAACUCACUCCCAGAAUCGCGUUCUGUUACGGACACGUCAGUUAUAUUUUUUCGAACUUCGCUUUCAACUCUUCAUCAAAGGCGCCAGCCAGCCUCUAAGACCCGGUGCAGAAGGGACACAAGACUUCAAUUGCCCCUUUCAACUCUCAGCCACAAGGGGAGAGAAUAACCCGGAGGUCAGUGCAUUCCACCCCUUCCCAACCAUAAGGCUGUUUGGCCAGCACGUGCCAGGUGAUGAUCUGGGAGUCAGGUUGGUAUCUGUCACCAGCAGUGGGAGGGAAGGUGGAUGGCUAGACCAGUCCUGGAAGCCUGCAGCUGGGCAAGCGACUUCUAGCUCCACCACAGGGCCUUGGUCAUAGCUGAUCUCACACCAUCAGAGGCUGUUUCCAGGAAGGCUAGCCUGACUCUGGGGCCCCCACACUCUGGGGAAAGGGCUGCAGGGAGCCACGGAGGAAUUUUAGAACCUGGGGGUCUCAGCAGGUGUGGGGAGCACAGUAUCUCCCCGGGGGCACUCACAAAUGUGACAGUGAGCUGUGGCAAUGCUGAGGGUACUGUAGACAAUUAGUGGAUAGGGUGGGUUAUGCUAAAUGUGCUCUAAUGUAUGAGACAGUCCCAUGCAGUGACAAAUUGCCCAUUCCAAUUGGCACUCCACUGACCGAACCCAACGUUCUCAUUUUACAGACAGAAAGGAUUUGAAUGAUUUCCCCCAAAGGGACCUCGGGGGGAUAUUUUGCUGCCCAUUGAUGGCAUUGUAUGUUCAGCUCCCCCAGGAACAAUGUCAUAAGACUUGUUGCUUCUCCUUAAACACAUCAGUAGGGCCACAGUCCCCAGAAAUGGAAAGGAGAAUGAGAUUCAUUGAACGUGCCAAAUCCUGCAUUAAGUGCAAUGCUUAACACACAUUACCUCAAUUUUUUUCUGAAAAAAAAAAAAAACAAAAAAACAACGAAACAACAAACCCUGGGAAUCAGGUGAUCUAAGGAGGAUAGGAAAGGCUCAGAGCAGCCAAGUAAGUUGACCAAAGCCACAUAGUUCAUCCAUGAUAGAGGCAAGAGUUCAAUGCAGUUCUCCUAGCCAGCAAAGUAUCUUGGGUAGAGACACACAAGAGCAACGAGUGGGGCACCCCAAAGCAGGGGUGCCUCUCUCUUCAGGCACCUCAAAUCACAUCUCAGGUCUUCUAGAGACUCUACCAAACCUGAGCAAAAUUGAGAGAGACCAAGUUCAUCUAGGAGCCUUCUCUCCCCCUCCAGGGGCUCCCCCCACCAAACACCACUAGAGUUAGCCAGAAGCAGCUGGUUAUGGGUAACUGCUAGCCAGGAAUUUUUGCUUUUUGUAAGAGUACCUAUGCCACGUGAAACACAUGAAAAUAUAAGGAAGCAAGCUCCCAUUGUAGAAGGGAAGUGGAGAGGGGGUUAUUGCUAAGGAGAAGUAAGACAUCUUUCUAGAGCUAUUACUGUACCGCAACUUUGCCUUCCAUAAACCAGCCUUUGAAAACUGUUGAAGAAAUAAAAGGGCUUUGGCCUGGUGCUUCUGACCAUCUCUGAAGGUUUCUGUUUUCUUUCCAUUUGGCCUUGCACCACUGCAAUACAAGAAGGGAAAAGAACAGUGAAGAGAAACACAGAGAAGGGAGGGGAGAUGGUGCUUGCGUGCGGGCUCUAAGGCCAUCACAGCAACAGGAAAAUGGAAAAGAAAUGGCACUGACAAGAUAAUGGCCCACCCUGACAAUUUUUGAAACCCUGAUGCGUUUAGUCAGAAAGUAGCCGGACCGGAAUCCCCAUUCUAUCACUUCCGGGGCAUGUGAAAGCAAUGCAAUUGCCUUAACAUGGCAGAAACUCAGGUUCUUCAAUUGUAUUAAGAAGGUAGUCAUUUCCACCUUCUGGUGUUAUCCUUAAGGAUAUACACGGAAAUAGGGCACCUGGCGCUUAGUAGGCACUCAGUAAGUGCAAGCAGCUAGGAUCGAUUCUCUUGAAAAGGAAGCCCACGGAGUGGUUCUGGAUAGGUGGCACAAAGGAGUUCACCACCUCCAAAGCUCUGACUCUGCUAUUGUCAAUCUCUUUUUCUCCUCAAGAGUGGGCGGGGUUGGGGGGAGCAAGGAGGGGAGUUUUCAGGGUAACAAGACUAAUCAGGAUUUCACCAUCAAAGCAAAUAUAUCCAAUUAACAGCUAUUAAAGGAGCAUUUUCUGGCACUGUGCACAAUGAGGGCCAUUCUGUCUAGUGGAAAUUAAUCUUAAUUAUUGGUACCUGCAUACAUACGUGAAAAGGGAAGCAACUCACAUUAAUCUACAUUAAACUUAAUAGCAGUCCGUGUAUUAUCUAUUCUGAGUCAAAAUUGACUGCUGGCCCCUGCAUAGAUACCUGCAGUGCUAACUCAAGUAAUUACAGUGCAGUGGGUCUCAAAGACACAAUUUGUUCCCUAUAUAAUAAAUCAGCUGCUAGAAGCUUUUUAUAAUUAAAAACCAAAAGGAAAAAAAUAGAACUGUAUAGGCAAAUGUCAUUUUCUUCUAUGGGAAAUUAGGAAAAAGGAAAACGCGUCUUCCUGUUGUCUCGUCUGAAAGGAAGAUGAAAACACCCAUGCCUGAUGGAUUCCCAAACAGAGGGAUAAAUACAGGGUUAGGUUUCCAGAACUAUGGAAAAGAAUGUUUCCAGAACUUCAAAGUUUAAGGUUUCUAAGAGGCCUUAACUUCAUUUCCGAGGAGACUGAUAAGGCUAUCUGAGAGCAAUGCCUUAUAUUAACUUGAAUUUUCAAUAGUCUGGGGCAGGGUAAAGUCCAGGUUCAUUUUAUGAGACUCCACUUAGGCAGGACUCCCUUCUGUUCAGCAUGAGAAAAAGGGGAAGGAUGACCAUGUUCUCUUCCUCUCUGCUGCCCACACCCUUCACACAUGGGCAUCAUGCAUUUUUUUUUCAGCAAAUCACCCUACAGCGGUUGCCCUACCUUUCCUAGACCUUGUUCACUCUUGUUGUCUCUAUCUCCAGAAACCACAGGCCCUCCCUCCCCCUGGACUACUCCAGUUCAUGAGGGUUCGUCCUAGUUGUCUGGAAUCAUGCACCUACUGGCGCUCUGUGGCCUCCGAGACCGUCUUGUCCAACCUCCACCCCAGCCAGGGUUUCCUAAACUGUGGCACGCCCACUACCACUGGAACAGGAAGGAUUAAGUGACAUGCAGAUAACAGUGACCUCAUUCGCCAGGUGCUGACCAGCAGGCACCCCAUGGUCGCUUUCCACAUCUUCCUGUGUUCAUCAGGAAGACAGGCCACAGGGGCGCCAGGGUGGCGCGGUCAGUUGAGUUGACGGACUCUUGAGCUUAGCCCAGGGUCAUGAUCCCAGGGUCGUAGGUCUGAGCCCGAUGUCAGGCUCUGCACUGAGCAUGGAACCUGCUUAAGAUUUUCUCUCUCUCUCCCUCUGCCCCUCUCCCCUACUUGCACGUUCUCUCUAAAAUAUAGAUAGAUAAAUAAAUAAAUAAAUAAAUAAAUAAAUAAAAGACACCCCACACGACCUCUGCAAUUGGGACACAAGCUCGCUCAAGCCAGAUGCUCCCAGGCUGGCCACCGGCCCCCUCAUUAUCUAAGCCCCAGCUCAUCCCAAUGCGAGACGCUUCUUAAGUCCCUUCUUUCUCCCUGCCCAUUCUCACCUUCAUUUCUGGGUCACCCUUAAGCCUUCUCUCGCCCCACCCAGCACCUCUCCUGAGUGCCGUCCCCAGCUACUGAGGUUGUGCAAAGAAUAGCAAACUGAAAGGUAACCCCUAGAACUGUGGUACUCGGUGGCUCUCACAACUUCUUGGCACCCUGUGACCACCAUCAUGCCUCAAUCUGGACUCUUUGGCUUGUGUCUCCUCCAGCCUCCCAUUCCCUUCCCACUACUCUGCUCUCAGCCCCCACACUUCUUCUCCACUCCCUACCCCACAACCUUUCACUGUAGGACAUCGAAGUCACUCUCUGAUGGCGUGCUUGAACACUUCUCACCCAGCCCCCGGUGCAACCUUUCCAAUCAGGCUGAAGCUCUCUGUUGGAUCACAAAUAUCCUCAUGGCCAUGGUCUGCCCACUCUAGUCUCCAAGUGUGUGAGUCGCUUUUGCUGCUUUUUCCUGCCACCUCUUCUACCUUUCUGCUCUAUCCUUCCUUAUGCAACAGUGCCAUUUACCACAGUUUUGGAGUCAAAAGUCAGGUGCAUGUUUCCUGGACAAAUUUAAGAAAAUAUAAAGAAAGAAAGGCAGCCUCUUGGUGUUUACUACUCAAGUCUUCUUUCUGUGAUGUAGAGCCACACUCUAAAGUACAUAAAGGCAACAUAAUGGACAUUGCUUUUUUAAAUGAUUCCCAUCCAUUUCUUUUCUUUGAAUGUGUAAUAUGUGCUCUGGUCUGUCAGUGUCCUUCUCCAGAGGCAAUCAGCAUUACCAGUUUAUUUUAUGUUUUCUAGUUUAUGGGUGGUGUGUGUGUGUGUGUUUUUUAUAUAUAUAUAUAUAUAUAUAUAUAUAUAUAAAUAUAUAUUUUUAAAAAAAUAUAUAUCUACAUAUAUAUUAUAUGUAUUAUAUAUAUUAUAAUAUAUAAUAAUUUUUAAAAUAUAUAAUUUAUAUAUAUUAUAAAUAUAUAUAAUUUAAAAUAUAUAUAAAAUAAUUUAUAUAUAAUGUAUAUAGUGUAUAUAUGUAUAUAGUAUAAAAUAUGUACAUGUUAUAUGGUUUAUAUGUAUACUUUAUAUAUAUUAUGUAUAAUAUACACACACAUUUAUAUUUACAUCUUUUAGACGAGUGAUGGGAUCCAUCACACUCUUUUACAUCUUGCCACUUUUGCUUAAUAAAUGUGGGAGGUAAUUUAUAAUAUAAAUGUAGAUCUGCAUUAGCUUCCUUUUAAAUAUAUCUCUUUAAUUAAAAGUUACUAAAUAACACAGUUGGAGUUGAGAUACAGCAAAAAUCAUGAGAGGUAUUUGACCAGUUGAAGUUCAGAAUGCACUGGUCUCCCCUGUGUAUAAUUUCUGUCACCUCCCCUGACCAUCUAACCUUACCCAUUAAGUGGACCUGCUUGAAUACCUCUACUGAUGGGGAACUCACUUCCUCAGGAGGUAACCUGAGGUUGUGAAGUUCUCAUCCUGAGCCUUCUCUUCAAACUGAAAUCUUUCCCAUUUCCCAGGUCUCUUAAAUCCAGUGAUCUCACCUUACAGGAAUUCAUCAGCUUUUAAAAUCUAUUUCAUUCAUUUGGAUGCUUAAUAGCAACUACUCAGCAGUGUUUCUUAACCUUAUCACAGGAAGCUGCCUUGCCCUUUUAACUUAAUUUUAAGUUUCUGAAAGGUAAAGACUGAGGCUUAGGUUUCUCUUGCGUCCCCUUCCAGUGCCUGCCAGAGUGCUUCCCACACUGUGGGUUUCCUAACACUCCGCCCCCAGAAUUCUUCCAGCCAUUGUAAUUGUUUGUGAUCUGUAUUCCCAGUGGAUUAUGCAAAGCCUGCCUUUGGUUUUCAAAUAUAUAUAUUGAGUGAAUAAAUAAAUGGACAAACAAAUAUGAGAAGAAAGUCAACUGUAGCUUUUCCUUGAAAGACAGUGAUGACAGAUAGGGUGGUAUUACAUUUCUCAAGGGGAUCUUGCAGAAUCCAAAUGUUGGAGAUGUUCUCCUUUGGGACCCCUGGGACACUGACAGAGCCACCACCUGCCAUGUUUAAGAGCCCUAGGGCUCCGUUCACAGAGCCCCUAAUCAUGACCAAAGCCUCAGAAACACAAAGUUGGAAGCUAACUUUCUAGGCCAUACAAAUUUCAGGAAACCAGGUCCCUUGGAGGGUUCUCCAAGGGCUUUCAUCAAAGUUCUUUAGAGCCAGAGGGAACUAACUUUUAUCAUGCUCCCAUUCUGUGCUGGCAAUGGAGUUUGAAGUGACAGACAAGCUUUCUGUCCUGCAAAGAUGAAGGAUGGAGCCCUGGCACCAGGCUGAAAGAACACUCCUUUCUUGCUCGCCCCUCUGCCUGGAACGUGCAUGCAGUUCUAAGUUGGAACUGUCCGCUAACCAAACAAGCAUUUCCUGAGAACAUACUAGUUACAAAAAUACCAGCUCCCCUCUCUCAACACUCAGGGUAGCAACGUACAAUGAAUUGCCAGGAACAGCUAAACAGGACUGUGAACGAAACACCCCUGUAAGACAGUCAUGCAAGAUUACUGUAGUGGGAGGGGCAUGGGGCUUGAAGGACAAAGCAUGUGAACCCUGGCUUUGCCACUCUCAACUGUGUGACCUUUGGAAGUCUACUUCACCUCUCUCAACCUUAUCUCUACAACGUAAAUAAUAAUGCUGUCUGUCCUACAAUUGUCCUGAGGAUUCAGGGAAACCUGAUAAGAUUAUAAACCUGAAGGUGGGCAGAAACUGUACGUGGACUUUAGAAGGCGAUGGGCUGGAAGAGGGGCCAGAAGAGAGAUGCAGAAAAGGAGGGAAAGCAUCUGCUACUGGCAGAGGGAGAGGUCACCCUCAUGGUACAGAGGGGGACCCUUGACAUGUCCAUGAUUGCUUGCUCGCCUUAUCAUUCUUGUCACUCCACACACAUUCACUAAGCACCUACAAAUGGGGAACAAGUCAGCCAUAAGGCCUGCACUCAAGGAGCUUACAGCUCAACAGGGAUACGGACACAUAAAGAAUCAGCUUGAAUCCAGUGGGCUCAGGGCUCCAAGAUGGCAGUGAGUGGGGGGAGACAUGGGAAUGGCUCCUAAUCCCAGCAAGUGUGUUAGAAUCAAGUGGCAGCUUUCAGAGACAAGUAGAGUCAUCCAUGCUGGGGUGGGGUGGGAAAGAGGAAGUGAGGGUGGAAGUGUCUAGAAACUUCCUGUAGGCUGAAACCUAUACUUUCUCAGAGAGUAUACAGGAAGAAGUGACUAGAAGAUAGAGCCUCAUAAAUCACGGUAAUGAAUUUGGACCAUAGCAUACGAACCAACGUAGAAUUUUAAGCAGGAGAGUGACACACAUGAUCAGAUUUGCACUUCAGAAAGCAGCAUGGGUUGGAGCAGGGCAAGACAGAGAUGGGGAAACAGUCCAGGAAAGAGUUGCAGGAAAUUAACUAAGGGAGACAUUCUAGGAGACCAGGGGAAGCAGAGAGAGGUUUAGAGCAUAUGACUCACAGCAUUCAUGAAAGACCUGAGGACAGGUGACAAAAGAAAGAUAACAGCAGUGGUCCCCAGGUGUCUGCCUUAGGCAGUUGGGAAAAAGGUGGUGCCAGUGACUGAGAGGAGGUUUUGAGGGGAGAUCCCGAAAGUAAUUUGGGGUAUGUCAAGAUUGAAGUUCUUGAGACAUAUCCAAGUGUAGUUGUCCAAGAGCAGAUGAAUACUUAGAUCCCAAAUAAGGAAGUUCUAGAUUGGAGACGUAAGUUUGCAAGUAUCUGGAUGAUGAGUGGCUUCUGGGCUGUUGACAAGACUUCCCAGAGAGUAGGAACAAUGAGAGGGGAGGAGAGCUGGCAGAGAGCUCCCUAAGAAGUGGGCAGGAGGAAGGACUCAAUGCAGGAGACUGACGGUCAGCUGAAGAGGCAGGAGGCAGCCCCACAGAGAGCACAGUGUGACAGAAGCCAGGAAAAGAGAGGGUGUUGUCAUGAUGAGAUAAGACUUUAGAAGUAUUUAUUGGAGAGGGCAAGUGGAAGUCUUAGUGACUGGGCAAGUUCCAGAGGAAUCCAGAUAGCCAGUGUUGAGAGGCAGGUGGGAGGUGGGAGGGGAGGAGACAGGAAGUGCAGGCAAAACUUACCAGGAAUUAACUAUGACAGUUAAGAUGAAAGACAGGGAAGUACUUGGCCAGGGAUGAAUAUAAGGAGGGUGUUGGAAAUGAUUUUUUUUUAAGGUGGGAGAAGCUCCAGCAUGUCUUAAUACUCAUGAGAAAAAGCCAAUGGGAAGAAAAGGUUAAAAAACAUAAAGAAGAGAAGAAGGAAAUUAUGAUGGAGGAGAGUCUUAAGUAAAUGGAUGGAGAUAGGAUCCAGGAGGUAUUUCACUGGAACAAAAAUGGGAGAAGAUGCUAUAUCAGUUAGAAGUAUCUUUCAGGCUCAAGUAAAGGUAAAUCCUCUAGGGCUGUGACUUGAACUCAAAUUUUACAAGUCAGGAGGGAGCUUUUCACUAUCAUCAGUGAAGCAGCUCAACAGUGCUGGGGCUCAGAACUAACAACCCUGUGAUUCGCUUCACCUUUGCUUCAUGGUUGCAAGAUGGCUGCAGCAACCCUAAGCAUCAUAUCCCUCACAUGACUGAUUCAUAGUCAGGAGACACAGGUGGGUGAGGGGCAGAGUUUCUCCUCACAAACUCUCCCCUAAAAAAAAAGGAAAAUAUACUCUAGAAUCCCUCCAAAGACUCCUUAAUACAUCAUAUUACCUAAAAUUGGGAGUUAAGAGUCAUCCCCGAACCAGGGCUGGACCCAGUUCCCUGAGAUGAAGGCAUCUGCACCCAGGCAAAAUCAAGAUUCCAAUGGGAAAGAAGAAAGGGGUGGCUUUAGUUUGGAAAUAGGGUGUCUGCAUCAGAGGUACAGGUAAAGUAGCUCUGUAGGUUUGGGAGCUGAGAGUUGAAUGAAUUUUCAUUAAAUGUGUUUUCUUUGAAGGUCUGUUGUCUGCUGAGAGUGAGAGGAAAGAGCUGGUGAGAUGUGAGGUCCGACGGUAGCGAAGAGAUCUAAUAUCGGCAUUAUGAAGAAGAGAGAGUGAACAAACCAGGGAAAUGUCUAAAAUUCCAAGGAGCCCUCAGCAAGGGGGAGACUUGAGGAAGAAAUUACAGAUCAAAGUAAAGAGAGGAGGGAGAGAAGAUCUGCUAAGUGACAGAUCUAUGCUACUCUUUUGCUCACCGCACCAGGAUUUCCCACCCUUGGCACUAUGGGCAUUCUGGGCCCACGGAUUCUUUGUUGUUGGGGGGUUACCUCGUGCGCUACAGGACGCAGCACCUCUUGGACUCUAUCCACUAGAGGCCAGGCAGGCGCAGCGCAAACACACACGCACACCAACUGUGACAACCAAGAACGUCUCCGAACACUGCCGAGUAUCCCCUGAGGGGCCAGCAUGGUCCCGUUGAAGACCACUGGUGUACGUUAUUUUAUUUGAUCCUAUAGAGCAAGGAUUAUGGUCCUGCUCUCAGGGAUGAGAUUAAAUGCCCGAGGACACACGACAAAGACCAGAUGGAGCCCAAGUUCAAACCAAGUCUGCUGGAGACACGUUCUUCCCUCUGGCCCUGAGCUCCAAAGCCCACAGUGCCCCACCAGCACCAACACCUAGCAGGAACUGAGUGCCCUUGGCCCCGGCCUCAGGACCUUCGCACUAGGUUUCUACACCCCAUAGAGUUGCCUAGGGCAGUGAUCUGUUUUCCGGAAAGACUUAGAAAGAACUCAUAAAAAUUAAAUCUUUAGAAGAGCUCUCUGUAUGUUCUUUUCCAGGAAGUCAGUCACCCGGGUGAAAAACGUGGCAACAUUUUCCCAAGGACUUGGAGGAGGAAACCACCAUCCAGAAAGGAAAAUCUUUCGAGUUGGAAUGUGCUGGAGGCUGCCUCUUUAAAUGAAAAACGUUAUAUGCCUGGGAAACAUUAUAUCUGCCAAAGAAAUAGGAGGGUC